CUUGGAGGUAGUGACAAUAAAUCACAAUGCGGAACAAUGUUUUGCAAUUGGAUUGAGAACAACGUACAAACCUUAUCGAUAAACAAUUGGAGGGCAAGUCUGGUGCCAGCAGCCGCGGUAAUUCCAGCUCCAAUAGCGUAUAUUAACGUUGUUGCAGUUAAAAAGCUCGUAGUUGAAAUGAAGGGUAGUUGUGUAAUGAAUACAUUCGUGUAUUUUGUUAUUCAACUACCCUCCUUCUAAAUUCGAUAUAUGAGUAUUAAUUUACUUGUAUAUGGUUUUAGACAUUUACUGUGAGAAAAUUAGAGUGUUCAAAGCAGGCAUUUGCUUGAAUAUAUUAGCAUGGAAUAAUCAUGUAUGAUUUUCAUGAUGUAUUUGAUUGGUUUGGUUCAUGAGAAUAAGAUUAAAAGGGACAGUUGGGGGUAUUCAUAUUCAAUAGUCAGAGGUGAAAUUCUCGGAUUUAUGGAAGAUGAACAAGUGCGAAAGCAAUU
This 488-nucleotide ribosomal RNA is filed under the name Blastocystis sp. subtype 3. RNAcentral describes it as "bacterial SSU rRNA". It matches the Rfam family "Eukaryotic small subunit ribosomal RNA", at positions 457 to 956 of the family's 1831-position model. Lineage: Eukaryota; Bigyra; Opalinata; Blastocystidae. The record is from RNAcentral.